Molecule: ribosomal RNA, 497 nt
Filed under: uncultured bacterium
Lineage: Bacteria
Description: partial 16S ribosomal RNA
Rfam family: Bacterial small subunit ribosomal RNA
Source: RNAcentral
GAUGAACGCUGGCGGCGUGCCUAAUACAUGCAAGUCGAGCGAACGGACGAGAAGCUUGCUUCUCUGAUGUUAGCGGCGGACGGGAGAGUAACACGUGGAUAACCUACCUAUAAGACUGGGAUAACUUCGGGAAACCGGAGCUAAUACCGGAUAAUAUUUUGAACCGCAUGGUUCAAAAGUGAAAGACGGUCUUGCUGUCACUUAUAGAUGGAUCCGCGCUGCAUUAGCUAGUUGGUAAGGUAACGGCUUACCAAGGCAACGAUGCAUAGCCGACCUGAGAGGGUGAUCGGCCACACUGGAACUGAGACACGGUCCAGACUCCUACGGGAGGCAGCAGUAGGGAAUCUUCCGCAAUGGGCGAAUGCCUGACGGAGCAACGCCGCGUGAGUGAUGAAGGUCUUCGGAUCGUAAAACUCUGUUAUUAGGGAAGAACAUAUGUGUAAGUAACUGUGCACAUCUUGACGGUACCUAAUCAGAAAGCCACGGCUAACUACGUG